AGUAACGCGCGAGUGAAGCGGUAAAAGCUCAAAUUUGAAAUCUGGCUCUUUCAGAGUCCGAGUUGUAAUUUGUAGAAGAUGCUUCGGGUGUGGUUCCGGUCUAAGUUCCUUGGAACAGGACGUCAUAGAGGGUGAGAAUCCCGUAUGUGACUGGAUACCUAUGCUCAUGUGAAGCUCUUUCGACGAGUCGAGUUGUUUGGGAAUGCAGCUCAAAAUGGGUGGUAUAUUUCAUCUAAAGCUAAAUAUUGGCCAGAGACCGAUAGCGCACAAGUAGAGUGAUCGAAAGAUGAAAAGCACUUUGGAAAGAGAGUUAAACAGUACGUGAAAUUGUUGAAAGGGAAGCGCUUGCAAUCAGACUUGCACUUGGUGUUCAUCAGGGUUUCGUGCCCUGUGUACUUCAUCAAGUUCAGGCCAGCAUCAGUUUGAGUGGUUAGAUAAAGGCUUGGAGAACGUGGCCCUCUUCGGGGGGUGUUAUAGCUCCAGGUGCAAUGUAGCCUACUUGGACUGAGGACCGCGCUUCGGCUAGGAUGCUGGCGUAAUGGUUGUAAGCGACCCGUCUUGAAACACGGACCAAGGAGUGUACCUAAUAUGCGAGUGUUUGGGUGUUAAACCCAUACGCGUAAUGAAAGUGAACGCUGGUGAGAACCCUCAAGGGUGCAUCAUCGACCGAUCUUGAUGUCUUCGGAUGGAUUUGAGUAAGAGCAUAUUGGGUGCGACCCGAAAGAUGAUGAUCUAUACGUGAAUAGGGUGAAGCCAGAGGAAACUCUGGUGGAGGCUCGCAGCGGUUCUGACGUGCAAAUCGAUCGUCAAAUUUGCGUAUAG
RNAcentral lists this ribosomal RNA (822 nucleotides) under Botrytis cryptomeriae. Its description in RNAcentral is "LSU rRNA". It matches the Rfam family "Eukaryotic large subunit ribosomal RNA", at positions 82 to 920 of the family's 3401-position model. The record is from RNAcentral. Lineage: Eukaryota; Fungi; Ascomycota; Leotiomycetes; Helotiales; Sclerotiniaceae.